This 253-nucleotide ribosomal RNA is filed under the name uncultured bacterium. RNAcentral describes it as "partial 16S ribosomal RNA". It matches the Rfam family "Bacterial small subunit ribosomal RNA", at positions 524 to 776 of the family's 1533-position model. The record is from RNAcentral.
UACGGAGGGUGCGAGCGUUAAUCGGAAUUACUGGGCGUAAAGGGUGCGUAGGUGGUUUAAUAAGUUAUCUGUGAAAUUCCUGGGCUUAACCUGGGGCGGUCAGAUAAGACUGUUGGACUAGAGUAUAGGAGAGGGUAGUGGAAUUUCCGGUGUAGCGGUGAAAUGCGUAGAGAUCGGAAGGAACACCAGUGGCGAAGGCGGCUACCUGGCCUGAUACUGACACUGAGGCACGAAAGCAUGGGGAGCAAACAGG